AGAGUUUGAUCCUGGCUCAGAACGAACGCUGGCGGCAGGCCUAACACAUGCAGGUCGAGCGCCCGCAAGGGAGCGGCAGACGGGUGAGUAACGCGUGGGAACGUGCCCUUUGGUUCGGAAUAUUCCCGGGAAACUGGGAGCAAAACCGGAUAAGCCCUUCGGGGGAAAGUUUACGCCAAAGGAUCGGCCCGCGUUAGAUUAGGUAGUUGGUGGGGUAACGGCCUACCAAGCCUACGAUCUAUAGCUGAUCUGAGAGGAUGAUCAGCCACACUGGGACUGAGACACGGCCCAGACUCCUACGGGAGGCAGCAGUGGGGAAUCUUGGACAAUGGGCGCAAGCCUGAUCCAGCCAUGCCGCGUGGAUGACUGAAGGCCCUAGGGUUGUAAAGUCCUUUCGACGGGGACGAUAAUGACGGUACCCGUAGAAGAACCCCCGGCUAACUUCGUGCCAGCAGCCGCGGUAAUACGAAGGGGGCUAGCGUUGUUCGGAUUUACUGGGCGUAAAGGGCGCGUAGGCGGAUUUUUAAGUCGGGGGUGAAAUCCCGGAGCUCAACUCCGGAACUGCCUUCGAUACUGGAAGUCUGGAGCACGGUAGAGGUGAGUGGAAUUCCGAGUGUAGCGGUGAAAUGCGUAGA
RNAcentral lists this ribosomal RNA (635 nucleotides) under uncultured bacterium. RNAcentral describes it as "bacterial SSU rRNA". It matches the Rfam family "Bacterial small subunit ribosomal RNA", at positions 8 to 694 of the family's 1533-position model. The record is from RNAcentral.